Non-coding RNA from Caenorhabditis elegans, 146 nucleotides. The record is from Ensembl. Lineage: Eukaryota; Metazoa; Nematoda; Chromadorea; Rhabditida; Rhabditidae.
UCACACUCUUUCACUCCUUCUUUUAGUUGUCUUUACUUGACUUUAGAUUUUCUAAAGAAUUAUUUUGAGCCAUUUUUAGAUAUUUUUAUUCGAUGAUAUUUUUGUAAGUAUGUAUCACUUGAGAUAUACUUUUUACAACAAAUUUC